This 460-nucleotide ribosomal RNA is filed under the name uncultured bacterium. Its description in RNAcentral is "partial 16S ribosomal RNA". It matches the Rfam family "Bacterial small subunit ribosomal RNA", at positions 338 to 795 of the family's 1533-position model. The record is from RNAcentral.
CCUACGGGAGGCAGCAGUGAGGAAUAUUGGUCAAUGGGCGGAAGCCUGAACCAGCCAAGUAGCGUGCAGGAUGACGGCCCUACGGGUUGUAAACUGCUUUUAUACGGGAAUAACGCGCCUUACGUGUAGGGUUUUGCAUGUACCGUAUGAAUAAGGAUCGGCUAAUUCCGUGCCAGCAGCCGCGGUAAUACGGAAGGUCCGGGCGUUAUCCGGAUUUAUUGGGUUUAAAGGGAGCGUAGGCGGGAUGUUAAGCGUGCUGUGAAAUGUUCGGGCUCAACCCGGGCCUUGCAGUGCGUACUGGCGUGCGUGAGUCCGCGGAAGGCAGGCGGAAUUCGUGGUGUAGCGGUGAAAUGCUUAGAUAUGACGAAGAACCCCGAUUGCGAAGGCAGCUUGCUGCAGCGGAACUGACGCUGAUGCUCGAAAGCGCGGGUAUCGAACAGGAUUAGAUACCCUUGUAGUC